This 224-nucleotide ribosomal RNA is filed under the name Lachnospiraceae bacterium. RNAcentral's name for it is "partial 23S ribosomal RNA". It matches the Rfam family "Bacterial large subunit ribosomal RNA", at positions 2697 to 2925 of the family's 2925-position model. Lineage: Bacteria; Bacillati; Bacillota; Clostridia; Lachnospirales; Lachnospiraceae. The record is from RNAcentral.
AUGGACGGACCGCCGGUGUACCUGUUGGCGACCAACGCCAUGGCAGGGUAGCCGAGUCCGGCAGGGAUAAACGCUGAAGGCAUCUAAGCGUGAAGCCCCCCUCAAGAUGAGAUAUCCCAAAUUUAGUAAGACCCCUUGGAGACUACGAGGUAGAUAGGCUUAAGGUGUAAGUGCAGCAAUGUAUUAAGCUGAUAAGUACUAAUCGGUCGAGGGCUUAACCAAAA